GCAGGGAGGGCAAUAUUUUGCCGCAUCACAACCCCCUUCGGUGUGCUAGGUGUCGACGGCGGUAAACUGACGUUUGCAAAAAAACAAGAUCGCAGCAACAGUGUAAUGAAGGGUUCAUUGCAGGAGAUGUUGCCCUGCGAGCUUGAUGCGAGUGUGACAAAUUUUGAAAGGCGCUGUCGGGACCGCAGCGGAACUACACAUUAAGCUGUGGUGUGUGCGGCAAGGCAUUUGCACGCAACAGUGACCGCAACCGGCAUGUCAAGAUCCACACGGGGGUCCGGCCCUUCCAGUGUGACGUGUGCUCACGCAAGUUCCGGCAGUCAUGGCACCUGCAGUAUCACCGCAGCACCCACACUGACUUCUGAUACCUGUAGCCACAGGGUGCUGACAUCCCCGUCGCCUGAACCUGGGUGCUGCCAUUCGUUGUCGCCUAAACCUGGA
Rhipicephalus microplus (southern cattle tick) is the source of this 441-nucleotide long non-coding RNA. Lineage: Eukaryota; Metazoa; Arthropoda; Arachnida; Ixodida; Ixodidae. The record is from RefSeq and is a predicted model, not a curated record.